GGGGGUGUAAUGGUUUCGACGGGGAUUAGGAACCUCGGAAAAGCACGCGGAAGCGCCCGUGCUUCCUAAAAAACGGGCAAAACAAUAACUGCGAACAGAACUCCUGUAGCACUCGCGGCAUAACCUGCCGCGGGAUGUCGAUGCGCCGAGCCUACCUAAUAAAGGCGUCGUCGGCUCAAAUUUUAGUAGGGAACAGCCUUUAGGGGGGUAGACCAAUACCCUUUAGGCAGUCAAAAACAGAGGUCUUGGGUUCAAGAAAGCCGUGUGUUAUAGGGCGUUCAAAACCGACACAAACCAAACACUAAGCGUGUAGAAAGCCUUGGCAACUUUUUUUCGGACACGGGUUCGACUCCCGUCACCUCCACCA
RNAcentral lists this transfer-messenger RNA (367 nucleotides) under Clostridiales bacterium. It matches the Rfam family "transfer-messenger RNA". From Rfam's summary of the family: Bacterial tmRNA, also known as 10Sa RNA or SsrA, is named for its dual tRNA and mRNA-like properties. Its role is to liberate the mRNA from a stalled ribosome. The record is from RNAcentral. Lineage: Bacteria; Bacillati; Bacillota; Clostridia; Eubacteriales.